GGUUAAGCGACUAAGCGUACACGGUGGAUGCCCUGGCAGUCAGAGGCGAUGAAGGGCGUGCUAAUCUGCGAUAAGCGCCGGUAAGGUGAUAUGAACCGUUAUAACCGGCGAUACCCGAAUGGGGAAACCCAGUGUGACUCGUCACACUAUCAUUAACUGAAUCCAUAGGUUAAUGAGGCGAACCGGGGGAACUGAAACAUCUAAGUACCCCGAGGAAAAGAAAUCAACCGAGAUUCCCCCAGUAGCGGCGAGCGAACGGGGAGGAGCCCAGAGCCUGAAUCAGCAUGUGUGUUAGUGGAAGCGUCUGGAAAGGCGCGCGAUACAGGGUGACAGCCCCGUACACAAAAGCGCAUGUGCUGUGAGCUCGAUGAGUAGGGCGGGACACGUGGUAUCCUGUCUGAAUAUGGGGGGACCAUCCUCCAAGGCUAAAUACUCCUGACUGACCGAUAGUGAACCAGUACCGUGAGGGAAAGGCGAAAAGAACCCCGGCGAGGGGAGUGAAAAAGAACCUGAAACCGUGUACGUACAAGCAGUGGGAGCCCCACCACUAAGCCAGUGGUGAACUCCACAUACGCAUCCUUUGCUGAGGAUACGGUUAACGGAGCGAAAGCGACGUUCAACCUCAAAAGAAGCAGAGGGGGCUUAGUGGUGGGGUGACUGCGUACCUUUUGUAUAAUGGGUCAGCGACUUAUAUUCUGUAGCAAGGUUAACCGAAUAGGGGAGCCGGAGGGAAACCGAGUCUUAAUUGGGCGUUAAGUUGCAGGGUAUAGACCCGAAACCCGGUGAUCUAGCCAUGGGCAGGUUGAAGGUUGGGUAACACUAACUGGAGGACCGAACCGACUAAUGUUGAAAAAUUAGCGGAUGACCUGUGGCUGGGGGUGAAAGGCCAAUCAAACCGGGAGAUAGCUGGUUCUCCCCGAAAGCUAUUUAGGUAGCGCCUCGUGAAUUCAUCUCCGGGGGUAGAGCACUGUUUCGGCUAGGGGGCCAUCCCGGCUUACCAACCCGAUGCAAACUGCGAAUACCGGAGAAUGUUAUCACGGGAGACACACGGCGGGUGCUAACGUCCGUCGUGAAGAGGGAAACAACCCAGACCGCCAGCUAAGGUCCCAAAGUCAUGGUUAAGUGGGAAACGAUGUGGGAAGGCCCAGACAGCCAGGAUGUUGGCUUAGAAGCAGCCAUCAUUUAAAGAAAGCGUAAUAGCUCACUGGUCGAGUCGGCCUGCGCGGAAGAUGUAACGGGGCUAAACCAUGCACCGAAGCUGCGGCAGCGACACUCAGGUGUUGUUGGGUAGGGGAGCGUUCUGUAAGCCUGUGAAGGUGUGUCGUGAGGCAUGCUGGAGGUAUCAGAAGUGCGAAUGCUGACAUAAGUAACGAUAAAGCGGGUGAAAAGCCCGCUCGCCGGAAGACCAAGGGUUCCUGUCCAACGUUAAUCGGGGCAGGGUGAGUCGACCCCUAAGGCGAGGCCGAAAGGCGUAGUCGAUGGGAAACGGGUUAAUAUUCCCGUACUUGGUGUUACUGCGAAGGGGGGACGGAGAAGGCUAUGUUGGCCGGGCGACGGUUGUCCCGGUUUAAGCGUGUAGGUGUGUGUUCCAGGUAAAUCCGGUUCACUUUAACACUGAGGCGUGACGACGAGGCACUACGGUGCUGAAGCAACAAAUGCCCUGCUUCCAGGAAAAGCCUCUAAGCAUCAGGUAACAUCAAAUCGUACCCCAAACCGACACAGGUGGUCAGGUAGAGAAUACCAAGGCGCUUGAGAGAACUCGGGUGAAGGAACUAGGCAAAAUGGUGCCGUAACUUCGGGAGAAGGCACGCUGACACGUAGGUGAAGUGAUUUACUCAUGGAGCUGAAGUCAGUCGAAGAUACCAGCUGGCUGCAACUGUUUAUUAAAAACACAGCACUGUGCAAACACGAAAGUGGACGUAUACGGUGUGACGCCUGCCCGGUGCCGGAAGGUUAAUUGAUGGGGUCAGCGCAAGCGAAGCUCCUGAUCGAAGCCCCGGUAAACGGCGGCCGUAACUAUAACGGUCCUAAGGUAGCGAAAUUCCUUGUCGGGUAAGUUCCGACCUGCACGAAUGGCGUAAUGAUGGCCAGGCUGUCUCCACCCGAGACUCAGUGAAAUUGAACUCGCUGUGAAGAUGCAGUGUACCCGCGGCAAGACGGAAAGACCCCGUGAACCUUUACUAUAGCUUGACACUGAACAUUGAGCCUUGAUGUGUAGGAUAGGUGGGAGGCUUUGAAGUGUGGACGCCAGUCUGCAUGGAGCCGACCUUGAAAUACCACCCUUUAAUGUUUGAUGUUCUAACGUGGACCCGUAAUCCGGGUUGCGGACAGUGUCUGGUGGGUAGUUUGACUGGGGCGGUCUCCUCCUAAAGAGUAACGGAGGAGCACGAAGGUUGGCUAAUCCUGGUCGGACAUCAGGAGGUUAGUGCAAUGGCAUAAGCCAGCUUGACUGCGAGCGUGACGGCGCGAGCAGGUGCGAAAGCAGGUCAUAGUGAUCCGGUGGUUCUGAAUGGAAGGGCCAUCGCUCAACGGAUAAAAGGUACUCCGGGGAUAACAGGCUGAUACCGCCCAAGAGUUCAUAUCGACGGCGGUGUUUGGCACCUCGAUGUCGGCUCAUCACAUCCUGGGGCUGAAGUAGGUCCCAAGGGUAUGGCUGUUCGCCAUUUAAAGUGGUACGCGAGCUGGGUUUAGAACGUCGUGAGACAGUUCGGUCCCUAUCUGCCGUGGGCGCUGGAGAACUGAGGGGGGCUGCUCCUAGUACGAGAGGACCGGAGUGGACGCAUCACUGGUGUUCGGGUUGUCAUGCCAAUGGCACUGCCCGGUAGCUAAAUGCGGAAGAGAUAAGUGCUGAAAGCAUCUAAGCACGAAACUUGCCCCGAGAUGAGUUCUCCCUGAGACUUAGAGUCUCCUGAAGGAACGUUGAAGACGACGACGUUGAUAGGCCGGGUGUGUAAGUGCAGCGAUGCGUUGAGCUAACCGGUACUAAUGAACCGUGAGGCUUAACCUU
RNAcentral lists this ribosomal RNA (3007 nucleotides) under Salmonella enterica. RNAcentral describes it as "23S ribosomal RNA". It matches the Rfam family "Bacterial large subunit ribosomal RNA". Lineage: Bacteria; Pseudomonadati; Pseudomonadota; Gammaproteobacteria; Enterobacterales; Enterobacteriaceae. The record is from RNAcentral.